This 228-nucleotide ribosomal RNA is filed under the name uncultured bacterium. Its description in RNAcentral is "partial 16S ribosomal RNA". It matches the Rfam family "Bacterial small subunit ribosomal RNA", at positions 103 to 334 of the family's 1533-position model. The record is from RNAcentral.
CGGGUGAGUAAUACAUCGGAACGUACCCAGUAGUGGGGGAUAGCCCGGCGAAAGCCGGAUUAAUACCGCAUACGCACUACGGUGAAAAGCGGGGGAUCGCAAGACCUCGCGCUAUUGGAGCGGCCGAUGUCGGAUUAGCUAGUUGGUGAGGUAAGAGCUCACCAAGGCGACGAUCCGUAGCUGGUCUGAGAGGACGACCAGCCACACUGGGACUGAGACACGGCCCAG